RNAcentral lists this ribosomal RNA (543 nucleotides) under uncultured Glomeromycotina. RNAcentral describes it as "SSU rRNA". It matches the Rfam family "Eukaryotic small subunit ribosomal RNA", at positions 555 to 1098 of the family's 1831-position model. Lineage: Eukaryota; Fungi; Glomeromycota. The record is from RNAcentral.
GCAAGUCUGGUGCCAGCAGCCGCGGUAAUUCCAGCUCCAAUAGCGUAUAUUAAAGUUGUUGCAGUUAAAAAGCUCGUAGUUGAAUUUCGGGAUCAAUAUUUCGGUCAUGCCGUUGGUAUGCACUGUUAUCAUUGAUUUCUCACCUUCUAAAGAACCAUAAUGCCAUUAAUUUGGUGUUACGGGGAAUUAGGACUGUUACCUUGAAAAAAUUAGAGUGUUUAAAGCAGGCUCACGCUUGAAUACAUUAGCAUGGAAUAAUGAAAUAGGACAUCCGAUUCUAUUUUGUUGGUUUCUAGGAUCGAUGUAGUGAUUAAUAGGGAUAGUUGGGGGCAUUAGUAUUCAAUUGUCAGAGGUGAAAUUCUUGGAUUUAUUGAAGACUAACUACUGCGAAAGCAUUUGCCAAGGAUGUUUUCAUUAAUCAAGAACGAAAGUUAGGGGAUCGAAGACGAUCAGAUACCGUCGUAGUCUUAACCAUAAACUAUGCCGACUAGGGAUCGGAUGAUGUUAAUUUUUUAAUGACUCAUUCGGCGCCUUACGGGAAAC